GUGUUCACUGUAAUAGCACAAUACUAAAUCAGAAGACUGCAGAGAUGGUUAGUGCAGCCCCUGUGCAAGGAUGACACUCAAAUUUGUGGAGCAUCCCACAUAUAU
Molecule: small nuclear RNA, 105 nt
Organism: Onychomys torridus (southern grasshopper mouse)
Lineage: Eukaryota; Metazoa; Chordata; Mammalia; Rodentia; Cricetidae
Source: RefSeq, a predicted model, not a curated record